Molecule: long non-coding RNA, 387 nt
Organism: Suricata suricatta (meerkat)
Lineage: Eukaryota; Metazoa; Chordata; Mammalia; Carnivora; Herpestidae
Exons: 5
Source: RefSeq, a predicted model, not a curated record
AAGAAGAGUAAUCUCAGGUCUGAAACCAUAGCUCACCCAAAGUCUCAGAUGUUAGACAAAUAAUGUCAUUGUAAAAUAUAUCAGUUUCAACUAAAGAAUCAUAACUUGGUAUGCAUGAACUGAGAAUGUGACACAGUCCUUUCCCUCGGGAACUCACAGGCUGGUAGAAGACACAGGUUUGAGACAAUGAUAAUUUAUAUUCUGAAUCUCUACUGCCUUGCAACAAACUCAACUUGAUGUUUUCAAAUGCAGCGGUAUUUCUGAAAAGAUCUAAAACACGAAAAAUGUUAUGUACCUCCUUUAUUUAUAUGACAAGUUGGUUUUCACCCAUCAGCUUUUGGCUAAAUUCACCAUUCAAAACUUUACAGGUCAGAAGGGAGUGGCAUG